GAUUAUGGCUCAGGAUGAACGCUAGCGGCAGGCUUAACACAUGCAAGUCGAGGGGCAGCGCGGGUAGCAAUACCUGGCGGCGACCGGCGCAAGGGUGCGUAACGCGUGAGCAAUCUGCCCGUAUCAGGGGGAUAAGCGAUGGAAACGUCGUCUAAUACCGCAUAACACAUUGGAUGGCAUCGUCCGAUGUUGAAAGCUUCGGUGGAUACGGAUGAGCUCGCGAGACAUUAGUAGUUGGCGGGUAACGGCCCACCAAGACCGCGAUGUCUAGGGGAACUGAGAGGUUGGUCCCCCACACUGGAACUGAGACACGGUCCAGACUCCUACGGGAGGCAGCAGUGAGGAAUAUUGGACAAUGGCCGGAAGGCUGAUCCAGCCAUGCCGCGUGAAGGAUAAGGUCCUAUGGAUUGUAAACUUCUUUUGAGAGGGAGCAAUAAGGUGUACGUGUACACCGAUGAGAGUACCUUUCGAAUAAGCAUCGGCUAACUCCGUGCCAGCCGCGGC
RNAcentral lists this ribosomal RNA (504 nucleotides) under uncultured bacterium. Its description in RNAcentral is "bacterial SSU rRNA". It matches the Rfam family "Bacterial small subunit ribosomal RNA", at positions 15 to 518 of the family's 1533-position model. The record is from RNAcentral.